This 506-nucleotide ribosomal RNA is filed under the name uncultured bacterium. Its description in RNAcentral is "bacterial SSU rRNA". It matches the Rfam family "Bacterial small subunit ribosomal RNA", at positions 29 to 552 of the family's 1533-position model. The record is from RNAcentral.
ACGAACGCUGGCGGCGUGCUUAACACAUGCAAGUCGAGCGAUGAAGCUCCUUCGGGAGUGGAUUAGCGGCGGACGGGUGAGUAACACGUGGGCAACCUGCCUCAUAGAGGGGAAUAGCCUUUCGAAAGGAAGAUUAAUACCGCAUAAGGUUGUAGUACCGCAUGGUACAGCAAUUAAAGGAGUAAUCCGCUAUGAGAUGGACCCGCGUCGCAUUAGCUAGUUGGUGAGGUAACGGCUCACCAAGGCGACGAUGCGUAGCCGACCUGAGAGGGUGAUCGGCCACAUUGGGACUGAGACACGGCCCAGACUCCUACGGGAGGCAGCAGUGGGGAAUAUUGCACAAUGGGGGAAACCCUGAUGCAGCAACGCCGCGUGAGUGAUGACGGUCUUCGGAUUGUAAAGCUCUGUCUUUAGGGACGAUAAUGACGGUACCUAAGGAGGAAGCCACGGCUAACUACGUGCCAGCAGCCGCGGUAAUACGUAGGUGGCAAGCGUUGUCCGGAUUU